Molecule: ribosomal RNA, 433 nt
Filed under: uncultured archaeon
Lineage: Archaea
Description: bacterial SSU rRNA
Rfam family: Archaeal small subunit ribosomal RNA
Source: RNAcentral
UACCAGCUCUCCGAGUGGUAGGGAUGAUUAUUGGGCUUAAAGCGUCCGUAGCCGGCUUAGCAAGUUUCCUGUUAAACUCAGCGACUCAAUCGUUGGGUCGCGGGAAAUACUACUAGGCUAGGAGGCGGGAGAGGUCAACGGUACUUCUGGGGUAGGGGCGAAAUCCUAUAAUCCCGGGGAGGACCACCAGUGGCGAAGGCUGUUGACUAGAACGCGCUCGACGGUGAAGGGACGAAAAGCUGGGAGAGCGAACCGGAUUAGAUACCCGGGUAGUCCCAGCUGUAAACGAUGCGAGCUAGGUGUUGGAAUGGCUACGGGCCAUUUCAGUGCCGCAGGGAAGCCAGUAAGCUCGCCGCCUGGGGAGUACGGCCGCAAGGCUGAAACUUAAAGGAAUUGGGCGGGGGAGCACCACAAGGCGUGAAGCUUGCGGUUC